ACGGCGACCGGCGCACGGGUGAGUAACACGUAUGCGACCUGCCCGUAGCAGGGGGAUAAGCGGAAGAAAUUCCGUCUAAUACCGCGUAAUAUCUUUCGGGGGCAUCCCUGAGGGAUUAAAGGAAGCGAUUCCGGCUACGGAUGGGCAUGCGGCGCAUUAGCUAGUCGGCGGGGUAACGGCCCACCGAGGCGGCGAUGCGUAGGGGUUCUGAGAGGAAGGUCCCCCACACUGGUACUGAGACACGGACCAGACUCCUACGGGAGGCAGCAG
Molecule: ribosomal RNA, 270 nt
Filed under: uncultured bacterium
Lineage: Bacteria
Description: partial 16S ribosomal RNA
Rfam family: Bacterial small subunit ribosomal RNA
Source: RNAcentral